Molecule: ribosomal RNA, 253 nt
Filed under: uncultured bacterium
Lineage: Bacteria
Description: partial 16S ribosomal RNA
Rfam family: Bacterial small subunit ribosomal RNA
Source: RNAcentral
UACGUAGGGAGCAAGCGUUGUCCGGAAUCAUUGGGCGUAAAGCGCGUGUAGGCGGCCAGGUAGGUCCGCUGUGAAAACCCGAGGCUCAACCUCGGGACGUCGGCGGAAACCAUCUGGCUAGAGUCCGGAAGAGGAGAGUGGAAUUCCCGGUGUAGCGGUGAAAUGCGCAGAUAUCGGGAAGAACACCCGUGGCGAAGGCGGCUCUCUGGGACGGUACUGACGCUGAGACGCGAAAGCGUGGGGAGCGAACAGG